AAUCAUCUAGACAGUAAUCAAAUUACUACGAUCACUAUUUCACGAAGAAAUGUAACAGAAGACAUCACACAUUCAAAAUCCACUAUAUGAUUUGUUUCCAACAGGUAUGUAACAUCAACAUGUUUCAAGCUUUUUCAUACAACAUACACAAGUGCAAAUGUACUAUCUCACACCACACGACAGCCAACACAUAAAACUAGCAAUCACACUAAUUACAUCGACAUGUUUCAAGCAUUUUCAUACAACAUACACAAGUGCAAAUGUACUAUCUGUCUCUUGUUCAUCCACAACAUCAACUACCAAACCUUCUAAGAUUUCUUGUUGUAUCUCACCCUGAAAAACCAAGAGAAAAGGGUGACAAGGUCAAAAGAAGUACAUGACUAUAUUUUAUUUCAAUUUAAAGGUAGCGAUUUAAUCAUUCAACACUACAGAAGUUAGUGGCUUAUUAGUUCCAUGAGCUUCCCAAGAAGUUCUUGGAGUCGUACUGCUUUGUGGGUCGCUGCUUGCACCAUGGACAGUGGUAGUAAGAACAAGUCCAUUAUGGAACAAAAUGAAGAACAACAGUAGAAGCAUCUAAAGUGCAGCUUUCCAAAGCAUUGGCUUCAUACAUGCCAUUUUUUCAUGCACCAUAGCAGCAAACAUCCAUAAAAUGAUCACAAGCUACAUUAAUUAAUCAAAUGCUCAGACAAGCGAGUAUAUUGUCUAGUUGAUUCCCAUCACAUGAACACUACAACUACCUACAAGAAGUGACAGAGGAUAAACACAAUUUUCACCGAACAAUGAGGAACAAAAAUUGAACAAAAACUAGGUUAUGUAAAAAGUAUAUUUGCAACAAAGGCACAAGUAGGUUAUGUAAAUAAAAGAGUUUCAUCCAUUCAUAAAGAAACAGUGAUUGCAUCACCAGUCUCAUUAGUUUCACAGCACUAUGCUACUAGCAUGAAGAAACAUCGCAUCAUAGAGACUGUCUGCUGAAACACACACAGAUGUGCCAGUCCUGAAUCCUGAUGAAUAUGUACGUGGCAUGCAUGCCUACACUAUCAUGAAACCUCUAAGCUAUAAAUGAACUGAAACCCACCAAGAUGAAACUGCUACCCCAGCCAUUCAUAUCAUCAACAGUACUACAUGCGCCCAUAUGAAUGUAUUAAUCAGAGGAACAAUUCUAAAUAAUUAACCAGACAACAAGGGGAUACCUGCUUGCAUUUACCUGCAGCUCGGUGAUGCGUGCGUGCAUAGGUGACCAAGGCCGUGCAGGCAAGGAAGCAGUAGAGGAUGUGCAGCUACAACGAUUUAAUCGAGCUGGAGCGCCCGCCCAAAUGCGAUCUUGCUCGAACGAACCACCAGCCUUCGCCCAGACUCGUCCCCUGAUGGGCGCCCCAGAUCCCUGCUCUGCUUGGAAACAAGAACAAAACAAGUAACUCCAGUUUCUAACCAAAUCAGUACAUCCAGCCUACAAGUAUGGCGAAUUGAAACAAGUGGAAAGAAUCUCUGAAGAUUGCUACCCGUGACCACAGAGGAGCUCAAUACUAUCCUACUCGACACUCUAUUGAUCUACAGAGCGUGGAAAGCUCGGGUCCAUAGCACCCACCCCAUGAAACGCGCCGCGACGAGGCCGCGUGGGGAGCCAGCGAGACGCCCGCCGGCCGGCCGACAAGCAGGAGUUGGCGAAGUGGGCCCGCCUCAUGACGGCGGCCGCGGGGGCCAUUUGACCACGGUGGGAGCGAGGAGGGGAGGGUUCAGGUCUGUGUGCGUGGGGUUUCAGAGCUCGGAGCAGGAUGACGUCAGAUCGAGCGAAUGGCGAGCAGACGGCACCGGAGAUUGGUGGAACCGCCGAGGCCAAGGGGUUACGCAGAAAAUCACCUCAGGAGGGCUCAAGGCACCGUGGAUCCGCGUGGAUCAGCCGAAGACGCUGCAGAUCUGCCGCGUGGCCGCUGUGGAUCCGACUAAGAGCAGCUCGAGAAACAACCGCAAGGAGGAGGCGGGCUUGGUCUCGGAUCCGCCGGCAGCGCCAUGGGUUGGUGGAUCUGGGGCCAAGGGAAGGGAGAGAUNNN
This 2048-nucleotide long non-coding RNA is filed under the name Triticum aestivum (bread wheat). Its description in RNAcentral is "long non-coding RNA (TAES_LNC008533)". The record is from RNAcentral. Lineage: Eukaryota; Viridiplantae; Streptophyta; Magnoliopsida; Poales; Poaceae.